UGGGGAGGGGGUGAGGAGACAGACACAGCGGCAAAAGCUUUGAAAAAUAGGCCUGUCAACUGAUUGUCAGACGUAACUGAGUUUAACGCUCAUUAAAAAAUGCACACAGGGACAGGUCAGGAGCAUUUGGAAACCUUGUCAGAUGACGAGCCAGCGCGGCUAAAUGCAAAGAGUGAUGUUUAAUGUUGUUGUGGGGUUGCUAUAUUUAGGACACUCUGCACAAACAAUGUAACCUUCGACUUGUAGAGUGGAAGAGAAACACGUCUGAUCGCUGACAGUCUGGACUAGAUGAAGUGUUCCUGAACGUCACUCCAGUGCUCAGAGAGAGACUUCCAGGUAUUCAACUCGCACGCUGACAAGAACUGCCGAAGGCUGACAGGCCUUUGUUCUACUGCCAGAGAAAACAAAACAUCAGCUCGUGACUUGAGGAUCUUGACUUCAUGACAUAUCGAUAUAUCCGACUGUUUUCAUACAUACUCUAUACAUGGACCAUAAGGGCUGCAGUGUACUCACAGGUGAAGUUGGAGUGGAUGGUUUUCGCUGCCAGGAGGCUGUUGACGGUAAUCUGAUAGAUGAUGUGGAGCAGCAGGAAGGACAUACUGGUGAAGCAGAGGGACUGCAGCAGACGCCCUGUGUGGCCUGGAGGAGGAGAGCAGCUACAGUAAAGAACACAGCUGUCAGCAGACAUUACUGAUCCUGGGAGGGAAGGAUGAGGAGCUCCCACAGCUGCUCCACACAUGGCUAUUUUAUAGUGCACCUACAGGUAUUUGGGAUAAUUUCAGGAGUUGUUAUGGUGAUAAUUCUCUACAGUAGGAUUUUUCAGACCACAUCCUAUUAUGAAAAUGAAAAUGUUCAUCUUCAGAGAGGACACAAGCUUGAUUGGACUCUUCUUCUUUGUGGAAGAAAUGACAAUAAUGUGCCCUGAAAGAUUAAAUCGUCCCACAUUGCUUCACGAUUUGGUUCACUGCUUCUACACAGGGCAAACAUCUCCAUCUCAUUAGAUUUACUGAAUCCUUGCAGGGGAACACAUAACAGUUUUAUUAUAGUGUAUGGCAAAAUAUCCUGGCUAAGGUGAAGCGCUACUGCUGAGCCUCGGGGCGAUUCGAGGGCUAACCUUAUCAAAUGUGUGCAACCCACGGCAGGCAAAUUAAAUGUUGAAGUGAAAACAAUUUGUGCUAAUUUCCCAUUGCAAUUCCCCGGGCUUUCACAAAGGGGGAAAAGAAUGCUUGUAAAUGUGAGGUAUGAGGACUGUUAGUGAGUUUCUGCGUCCAAAUUGGUCCUG
Molecule: long non-coding RNA, 1282 nt
Organism: Larimichthys crocea (large yellow croaker)
Lineage: Eukaryota; Metazoa; Chordata; Actinopteri; Sciaenidae
Exons: 4
Source: RefSeq, a predicted model, not a curated record